This is a non-coding RNA of Mesocricetus auratus (golden hamster), 115 nucleotides long. The record is from Rfam. Lineage: Eukaryota; Metazoa; Chordata; Mammalia; Rodentia; Cricetidae.
AUUGCUUCUUGGCAUUUUUGCUAAAAUCGAGUGUAUUAUCUGCCCUUAUCAGUUUAAUAUCUAAUGGGGUUGAGUCUUUGAUUUGAGUGAGCAGAAAAUAAAGUGGCAACAUCAU